This 72-nucleotide transfer RNA is filed under the name Hyphomicrobiales bacterium. Its description in RNAcentral is "tRNA-OTHER". The record is from RNAcentral. Lineage: Bacteria; Pseudomonadati; Pseudomonadota; Alphaproteobacteria; Hyphomicrobiales.
GUCGUUGUAGCUUAGAUGGUAUAGCAACGUAUCAUAAUGCGUGGAUCAGCAGUUUAAUUUUGCUCGGCGGCA